Molecule: ribosomal RNA, 468 nt
Filed under: uncultured bacterium
Lineage: Bacteria
Description: partial 16S ribosomal RNA
Rfam family: Bacterial small subunit ribosomal RNA
Source: RNAcentral
GACGAGCGCUGGCGGCGUGCUUAACACAUGCAAGUCGAACGGAAAGGCCCUGCUUUUGUGGGGUGCUCGAGUGGCGAACGGGUGAGUAACACGUGAGUAACCUGCCCUUGACUUUGGGAUAACUUCAGGAAACUGGGGCUAAUACCGGAUAGGAGCUCCUGCUGCAUGGUGGGGGUUGGAAAGUUUGGGCGGUUUGGGGUGGACGCGCGGCUUAUCAGCUUGUUGGUGGGGUAGUGGCUUACCAAGGCGUUGACGGGUGGCCGGCCUGAGGGGGUGACCGGCCACAUUGGGCCUGGGAUACGGCCCAGACUCCUACGGGGGCCAGCAGUGGGGAAUAUUGCACAAUGGGCGGAGGCCUGAUGCAGCAACGCCGCGUGCGGGAUGACGGCCUUCGGUUUGUAAACCGCUUUCGCCUGUGACGAAGCGUGAGUGACGGUAAUGGGUAAAGAAGCACCGGCUAACUACGUG